Molecule: long non-coding RNA, 288 nt
Organism: Portunus trituberculatus (swimming crab)
Lineage: Eukaryota; Metazoa; Arthropoda; Malacostraca; Decapoda; Portunidae
Exons: 2
Source: RefSeq, a predicted model, not a curated record
AUUUAUAUGAGAGAGAGAGAGAGAGAGAGAGAGAGAGAGAGAGAGAGAGAGAGAGAGAGAGAGAGAGAGAGAGAGAGAGACUUAUUAUAGGCAAGCCUGACAUAUUAACAGCAAAUUGCAGACUGAGGUUUAGAUAGGUAGUGACUAAAACCAAUGAAUCAGGUGACUAAGUAUUAAGAAAACGAUCAUUAAAGUGAAAUAUUGCGGGUUUUUUUGAAGUAUUUGUCUCUGUUGAGUGUUUUACAAGAUAAGAAAAAGAUGAAGUGAAAAAAUACAUGUUGAGAAUUA